RNAcentral lists this ribosomal RNA (497 nucleotides) under uncultured bacterium. RNAcentral describes it as "partial 16S ribosomal RNA". It matches the Rfam family "Bacterial small subunit ribosomal RNA", at positions 28 to 507 of the family's 1533-position model. The record is from RNAcentral.
GAUGAACGCUGGCGGCGUGCCUAAUACAUGCAAGUCGAACGAACAGACGAUGAGAUCGCUCCCUUGCCGUUAGCGGCGGACGGUUGAGUGACGAAUGGAUAAGCAACCUAUAGGACUGGGGUAACAACGGGAGGGAGGAGCCAAUAACACAGAAUAUAAUCAACCGCAUGAAUCAAUAGAGCAUGGCAGCUUUGCUGACAGUUAUAGAUGUAUCCGCGUGGGAUUAGCUAGUUGGUAGGGUAACGGCUUACCAAGGCAACGAUGCGUAGCCGACGUGAGAGGGUGAUCGGCCACACUGGAACUGAGACACGGUCCAGACUCCUACGGGAGGCAGCAGUAGGGAAUCUUCCACAAUGGGCGAAAGCCUGACGGAGCAACGCCGCGUGAGUGAUGAAGGUCUUCGGAUCGUAAAACCCUGUUGUUAGGGAAGAAAAGAUGUGUGAGUAACUAUGCACGUCUUGACGGUACCUAAACAGAAAGCCACGGCUAACUACGUG